This 467-nucleotide ribosomal RNA is filed under the name uncultured bacterium. Its description in RNAcentral is "partial 16S ribosomal RNA". It matches the Rfam family "Bacterial small subunit ribosomal RNA", at positions 28 to 507 of the family's 1533-position model. The record is from RNAcentral.
GACGAACGCUGGCGGCGUGCUUAACACAUGCAAGUCGAACGGAAAGGCCCUGCUUUUGUGGGGUGCUCGAGUGGCGAACGGGUGAGUAACACGUGAGUAACCUGCCCUUGACUUUGGGAUAACUUCAGGAAACUGGGGCUAAUACCGGAUAGGAGCUCCUGCUGCAUGGUGGGGGUUGGAAAGUUUCGGCGGUUGGGGAUGGACUCGCGGCUUAUCAGCUUGUUGGUGGGGUAGUGGCUUACCAAGGCUUUGACGGGUAGCGGCCUGAGAGGGGGACCGGCCACAUUGGGACUGAGAUACGGCCCAGACUCCUACGGGAGGCAGCAGUGGGGAAUAUUGCACAAUGGGCGGAAGCCUGAUGCAGCAACGCCGCGUGCGGGAUGACGGCCUUCGGGUUGUAAACCGCUUUCGCCUGUGACGAAGCGUGAGUGACGGUAAUGGGUAAAGAAGCACCGGCUAACUACGUG